Molecule: ribosomal RNA, 329 nt
Filed under: uncultured eukaryote
Lineage: Eukaryota
Description: partial 18S ribosomal RNA
Rfam family: Eukaryotic small subunit ribosomal RNA
Source: RNAcentral
CCCUUAGAUGUUCUGGGCCGCACGCGCGCUACAAUGAUGAAUUCAACGAGUUUAUAACCUUGGUUGAAAAGCCUGGGUAAUCUUUUGAACUUUCGUCGUGAUGGGGCUAGACCCUUGCAAUUAUUGGUCUCCAACGAGGAAUUCCUAGUAAACGCAAGUCAUCAGCUUGCAUUGAUUACGUCCCUGCCCUUUGUACACACCGCCCGUCGCACCUACCGAUUGAAUGGUCCGGUGAAAUCUUCGGACCGAGACUUUGAUUUGUUCACUCAAAACGCUGUCUCGGGAAGUUGAUUAAACCUUACCAUUUAGAGGAAGGUGAAGUCGUAACA